Molecule: long non-coding RNA, 654 nt
Filed under: Apteryx owenii (little spotted kiwi)
Lineage: Eukaryota; Metazoa; Chordata; Aves; Apterygiformes; Apterygidae
Description: lncRNA (ENSAOWG00000006690.1)
Source: RNAcentral
CUUGUAUAAAACAUUUUAAAGAAGAUGCUUGGAGAUGCUUGGGUAAAUAAUAAAAUUCAUGAUAAACUUACUGUAUUAGUAAAAGCACUAAUUUCUUUAAAUUCCCUUGACAGAUUUAAUGUAAUUGAGUUUUUAACCUGUCAGAGAGGAUAUGUUUUUAACAUUCAAAAUGUUAWAUGCUCUGAAAUCUUGGAGCAAAAACUGGAGUCAGUGCCAGAUCAAACAAGUUCAGAAGAGCAAAUGGAGGACUGGUCAAAAGGAUGGAAGGAUCUUCUUGUAUUUGGAUGACCCAAAUGUUGCUCUCAGAUAUGAUCAUUUAUGUUUCACAGCAGAAGCUUACAAAAGUUAGCACUUUACGUGACUGAUUGGCUUUAAGCAAGUGCUAGAAAAGUGGCCUGUGACUAAAUGACUUGUAGGAUUGAAAAACGGCACUGACACAGGAGGGAGACCUUCAGUACAUCAUAAAAGGGUGGAUUUUGUUGGCAAAUGGCUCCCUGUAGGUCAAAAAAAAAUUGAAUGUGUGUGUCAACCUCAAAGAUGCCUGCUUCAUCCGAUCCUCAUAGCAUCUUGUGAAUUCUUUUUCUGGAGUUUUAUCCUAUGUGUACUUUCUCAAAAGAUAAUAAACGUAAAGUUUGUCGUGAAAAGAGUCUGAUG